GCUGACGUUGGGACAGCAGUGGCGGGAAUAAGUGGGGGCGUUGCGUGAAGCGGGAUUACUUGGCGUAAGUAGAUCGCAGGCGGUGUGUUAAGCGAGAUGUGAAAGCCCUGGGCUCAACCUAGGAAUAGCAUUUCGAACUGGCGAAAUAGAGUCUUGUAGAGGGGGGUAGAAUUCCAGGUGUAGCGGUGAAAUGCGUAGAGAUCUGGAGGAAUACCGGUGGCGAAGGCGGCCCCCUGGACAAAGACUGACGCUCAUGCACGAAAGCGUGGGGAACAAACAGGAUUAGAUACCCGGGUAGUC
This 300-nucleotide ribosomal RNA is filed under the name uncultured Nocardioides sp. Its description in RNAcentral is "bacterial SSU rRNA". It matches the Rfam family "Bacterial small subunit ribosomal RNA", at positions 496 to 795 of the family's 1533-position model. Lineage: Bacteria; Bacillati; Actinomycetota; Actinomycetes; Propionibacteriales; Nocardioidaceae. The record is from RNAcentral.